This 116-nucleotide ribosomal RNA is filed under the name Penicillium sp. FF63. Its description in RNAcentral is "partial 28S ribosomal RNA". It matches the Rfam family "Eukaryotic large subunit ribosomal RNA", at positions 1 to 115 of the family's 3401-position model. The record is from RNAcentral. Lineage: Eukaryota; Fungi; Ascomycota; Eurotiomycetes; Eurotiales; Aspergillaceae.
UUGACCUCAGAUCAGGUAGGGAUACCCGCUGAACUUAAGCAUAUCAAUAAGCGGAGGAAAAGAAACCAACCGGGAUUGCCCUAUUAACGAGCAGUGAAGCGGCAAGAGCUCAAAUU